GGGUUGUGAGGUUAAGCGACUAAGCGUACACGGUGGAUGCCCUGGCAGUCAGAGGCGAUGAAGGACGUGCUAAUCUGCGAAAAGCGUCGGUAAGGUGAUAUGAACCGUUAUAACCGGCGAUGUCCGAAUGGGGAAACCCAGUGCAAUUCGUUGCACUAUCGUUAACUGAAUACAUAGGUUAACGAGGCGAACCGGGGAACUGAAACAUCUAAGUACCCGAGGAAAAGAAAUCAACCGAGAUUCCCCAGUAGCGGCGAGCGAACGGGGAGCAGCCCAGAGUCUGAAUCAGCUUGUGUGUUAGUGGAACGGUCUGGAAAGUCCGACGGUACAGGGUGAUAGUCCCGUACACCAAAAUGCACAGGUUGUGAACUCGAAGAGUAGGGCGGGACACGUGGUAUCCUGUCUGAAUAUGGGGGGACCAUCCUCCAAGGCUAAAUACUCCUGACUGACCGAUAGUGAACCAGUACCGUGAGGGAAAGGCGAAAAGAACCCCGGCGAGGGGAGUGAAAAAGAACCUGAAACCGUGUACGUACAAGCAGUGGGAGCACCUUCGGGUGUGACUGCGUACCUUUUGUAUAAUGGGUCAGCGACUUAUAUUCUGUAGCAAGGUUAACCGUAUAGGGGAGCCGCAGGGAAACCGAGUCUUAACUGGGCGUUAAGUUGCAGGGUAUAGACCCGAAACCCGGUGAUCUAGCCAUGGGCAGGUUGAAGGUUGGGUAACACUAACUGGAGGACCGAACCGACUAAUGUUGAAAAAUUAGCGGAUGACUUGUGGCUGGGGGUGAAAGGCCAAUCAAACCGGGAGAUAGCUGGUUCUCCCCGAAAGCUAUUUAGGUAGCGCCUCGUGAAUUCAUCUUCGGGGUAGAGCACUGUUUCGGCUAGGGGGUCAUCCCGACUUACCAACCCGAUGCAAACUACGAAUACCGAAGAAUGUUAUCACGGGAGACACACGGCGGGUGCUAACGUCCGUCGUGAAGAGGGAAACAACCCAGACCGCCAGCUAAGGUCCCAAAGUCAUGGUUAAGUGGGAAACGAUGUGGGAAGGCACAGACAGCCAGGAUGUUGGCUUAGAAGCAGCCAUCAUUUAAAGAAAGCGUAAUAGCUCACUGGUCGAGUCGGCCUGCGCGGAAGAUGUAACGGGGCUAAACCAUGCACCGAAGCUGCGGCAGCGACACUAUGUGUUGUUGGGUAGGGGAGCGUUCUGUAAGCCUGCGAAGGUGUGCUGUGAGGCAUGCUGGAGGUAUCAGAAGUGCGAAUGCUGACAUAAGUAACGAUAAAGCGGGUGAAAAGCCCGCUCGCCGGAAGACCAAGGGUUCCUGUCCAACGUUAAUCGGGGCAGGGUGAGUCGACCCCUAAGGCGAGGCCGAAAGGCGUAGUCGAUGGGAAACAGGUUAAUAUUCCUGUACUUGGUGUUACUGCGAAGGGGGGACGGAGAAGGCUAUGUUAGCCGGGCGACGGUUGUCCCGGUUUAAGCAUGUAGGCUGGUUGUCCAGGCAAAUCCGGAUAAUCAAGGCUGAGGUGUGAUGACGAGGCACUACGGUGCUGAAGUAACAAAUGCCCUGCUUCCAGGAAAAGCCUCUAAGCAUCAGGUAACAUCAAAUCGUACCCCAAACCGACACAGGUGGUCAGGUAGAGAAUACCAAGGCGCUUGAGAGAACUCGGGUGAAGGAACUAGGCAAAAUGGUGCCGUAACUUCGGGAGAAGGCACGCUGGUGUGUAGGUGAAGUCCCUGCGGAUGGAGCUGAGACCAGUCGAAGAUACCAGCUGGCUGCAACUGUUUAUUAAAAACACAGCACUGUGCAAACACGAAAGUGGACGUAUACGGUGUGACGCCUGCCCGGUGCCGGAAGGUUAAUUGAUGGGGUUAUCCGUAAGGAGAAGCUCUUGAUCGAAGCCCCGGUAAACGGCGGCCGUAACUAUAACGGUCCUAAGGUAGCGAAAUUCCUUGUCGGGUAAGUUCCGACCUGCACGAAUGGCGUAAUGAUGGCCAGGCUGUCUCCACCCGAGACUCAGUGAAAUUGAACUCGCUGUGAAGAUGCAGUGUACCCGCGGCAAGACGGAAAGACCCCGUGAACCUUUACUAUAGCUUGACACUGAACAUUGAGCCUUGAUGUGUAGGAUAGGUGGGAGGCUUUGAAGCGUGGACGCCAGUCUGCGUGGAGCCAACCUUGAAAUACCACCCUUUAAUGUUUGAUGUUCUAACGUUGGCCCCUUACCGGGGUUGCGGACAGUGUCUGGUGGGUAGUUUGACUGGGGCGGUCUCCUCCCAAAGCGUAACGGAGGAGCACGAAGGUUAGCUAAUCCUGGUCGGACAUCAGGAGGUUAGUGCAAUGGCAUAAGCUAGCUUGACUGCGAGCGUGACGGCGCGAGCAGGUGCGAAAGCAGGUCAUAGUGAUCCGGUGGUUCUGAAUGGAAGGGCCAUCGCUCAACGGAUAAAAGGUACUCCGGGGAUAACAGGCUGAUACCGCCCAAGAGUUCAUAUCGACGGCGGUGUUUGGCACCUCGAUGUCGGCUCAUCACAUCCUGGGGCUGAAGUAGGUCCCAAGGGUAUGGCUGUUCGCCAUUUAAAGUGGUACGCGAGCUGGGUUUAGAACGUCGUGAGACAGUUCGGUCCCUAUCUGCCGUGGGCGCUGGAGAAUUGAGGGGGGCUGCUCCUAGUACGAGAGGACCGGAGUGGACGCAUCACUGGUGUUCGGGUUGUCAUGCCAAUGGCACUGCCCGGUAGCUAAAUGCGGAAGAGAUAAGUGCUGAAAGCAUCUAAGCACGAAACUUGCCCCGAGAUGAGUUCUCCCUGAGACUUUAAGUCUCCUGAAGGAACGUUGAAGACGACGACGUUGAUAGGCCGGGUGUGUAAGCGCAGCGAUGCGUUGAGCUAACCGGUACUAAUGAACCGUGAGGCUUAACCUUACAACGCCGAAG
Molecule: ribosomal RNA, 2919 nt
Filed under: Klebsiella pneumoniae
Lineage: Bacteria; Pseudomonadati; Pseudomonadota; Gammaproteobacteria; Enterobacterales; Enterobacteriaceae
Description: 23S ribosomal RNA
Rfam family: Bacterial large subunit ribosomal RNA
Source: RNAcentral